AGAAAAUCAGGUCUUGUUGCCCUAAAAGUCCUGUUAUAAAAACUCAUUCACUCAUUUUUAGAAGUGGAGCUGGAGACAGAAAAAAAAAGAGUGAGACGGUUGCGUAAAAUUUAGGUUCAAAUCUGAGUUUUGGUAGAUGCAAAAACACCUCAAAACAGAAAGAAAACACUCAAAAGAGAGAUUUUAAAAGGCUGCUUCAAAACUCAUGAUAUUCUGCAUAAGUUCUGGGUUCAAAAGCUAGUUUGAUUUGAAGAAAGUAUUGGUUUUCUGCUGUUGAUUUCGAGCUGUACCACUGUUUGUCAAGCUGACCCGCAAUCUGUGGAUCUCCAUUUAUUCAUCUGUUGUUUGAGUUUCGUUCCUGAUUCUAAACUAGAUAUGGAUGCUAAGUAAGUGCAUUUGGGUUAAUCUAAAGUCCAAAUCCAAUUUUGGGAAUCAUUGCUUGGAUGUAAUAUUUGAAGUUAUUUGUGAAUUCUGUCUAUUCUGCUCUAAGAAUCAUGUUGGCUUAACUGAAUAGUUCUGAUCCGGGUGAUGUGAAAUUAAUUAGCUAUUUGCUUGUCACAAAAGAAGAAGAAAUGAAUUAUUGUUUACACAUGUCCAAUAUAUAAUCUGUAGUUCAAAAGACAAGUAGCGGGGAAAGACGCAACAUGGAUUGUUCACUAAAUUUGAGGAUUGAAUCAGUGACAACUUUAAUGAAUGAAAUGGGCAGAGAAGCUCCCAAGCAGUGGUCAAAUUUUUAUUUAUUUGAAGUAAAAAUGAAGUUCUAGAUGUUCUGUAAAUUAAUGUGCUUUUGCUGUUGUUUAUUUUUCUAGCCAUGAAGGACAGAUUUGCAUUUUUA
Nicotiana attenuata is the source of this 835-nucleotide long non-coding RNA. RefSeq lists it as uncharacterized. NCBI's taxonomy places the organism in Eukaryota, Viridiplantae, Streptophyta, Magnoliopsida, Solanales, Solanaceae. The transcript has 2 exons. The record is from RefSeq and is a predicted model, not a curated record.